UGUUUCUUCCAAUGCGAUGUUUCAAAUUCAUUCAAAUAUGUAUAAAUAAAAUUUUUCUAUUAACAUUGUAUCGAAGGUCUGAGGGGGGUGAUAGAACCAUAAGAAAAGACAAUCGGUUGGACAGAAGAAAGGGAUAAGAAGAAUAAUGACGAUGAUAACAUUGAGCUAAGUUGAAAAUCGGACAAAAUUUGUUUUUUUUAAAUUAUUUAAUUUAAUAAAAUGAGAUACGUAAUGAAUUCUCUUUAUCGACCUACACUCAACAAUCAGUGCCAGAGCCAGUGUUUUCGACGGGAGCAUGGUUCCCUUCAUUUAAGCAGUUUCCGCUGCUUAAAUCACCCCAGAACGUCCAGCGUCAAUUCCAGCACUCCAACGCAAUGUCCUGGUCACUCUCCGGAUCUUCCAGUAUAUUCGGAAAAUCCUCAUCCAGUUGCCCGCCGCACAUAACCCAACCUGUCACAACAGUGGGCCAUAGUUAAGAGAAUGAUCUUGAGUUUCCUCUCGGAUCUAGGGCUUCACUUUUAGCACUCAGAUCCUGGAUAACCCUUCGGGAUGCUCUCCAGGCGAUUUCACCUCUUCUCAGGCAACUCCAUGGGACUCUGGGUUUUUUCUUCCACUGACAUGCCUUUGCUGGUGCUCCAUACUGCUUCUCCAGUCAACACUGGACAUUCAGAGAGUGGAAAAAGACACGGAGUGGCACUAACAUUUCUUUGUGCUGAUUCUCAUACUACAGGAUCCGGGAUGACUUAUCCACUAUUAUUUACACAUUUUCGGGAACUACGGGUAAAAGCGCGAGAGAGACUAUGCUCUCCUAUUUAAUUUGAUAAUCAUUUAACUUUAAUGAUGGCUACCCUCGAAUUAUCCGGGUUUUAAGUGACCUUCGUCACAAGUUAUACAACAAAACAAUUGUAUAUUUACAUGUCAGACAUAUUUUGUUCCAAACUUUGUGUUUGGGUUCUAUCGUUCCUUUCUGAAUAAUUUCCCUUUUUUUCUCACCCAGCAGAUUACGAAUAGCAGCAUAUUAUUCGAUCCAGAUAUAUGCUGUUGAAGAAUUUUGAAUAUACUUCUUGGAAAUUUUUAUCGCAUCAUAACUUCACUCAAAUUUGGGAGAAUUUCGUCACUGAAAAUUCAGAACUUGAUGUAAAAAAUCAAUAUAAAUUGUAAAUUGGGAGGUUUUAAAUUUCCGUGAUUGUCCAGCUUGCAGGAAAUACUAGCCACAACCACCUGUAAAGAGAUGAAAAAAAUGAAACAAUAAAGCAAUAUAGACGGUUGUUCCACUUUG
Diachasma alloeum is the source of this 1279-nucleotide long non-coding RNA. RefSeq lists it as uncharacterized. The record is from RefSeq and is a predicted model, not a curated record. Lineage: Eukaryota; Metazoa; Arthropoda; Insecta; Hymenoptera; Braconidae. The transcript is spliced from 2 exons.